Long non-coding RNA from Spinacia oleracea (spinach), 2667 nucleotides. RefSeq lists it as uncharacterized. The transcript has 2 exons. NCBI's taxonomy places the organism in Eukaryota, Viridiplantae, Streptophyta, Magnoliopsida, Caryophyllales, Amaranthaceae. The record is from RefSeq and is a predicted model, not a curated record.
GUACCCAUGAUUACCUCGCCGAAAGCGGUGGGAACUCCUCGUAAUAGAAGGGUAUUACUAUAAAUUUAUUAUUUUAUUUUCUGUUCUAUCCAACAAUUUCCAACACAUUUCCCAUACCAUGUCAAACAAAAAAUAAUAAUAAAAUUAUUUUCCCUGUGUCAAAUUCCCUAUUCUUAUUUCUAUGCAAAUAUCAUUAAAAAAAAAAACAUUUUCCAAACUCACGAUAACAGUCUGAGUUCCAAACCUCUAUUCUCUCUUUUCAAGUUUUUCUCUUUCAUGUCGCCGCCAGCCGCUGCCCAAGUCCAAGACUUCCAACCUCUUUUGCCCUGUUGGAGUGAUCCACAAGAAACCACCGUUGUUCACUCGCCUACAGCCCUCCAUGAAGGUACGAAGUACAAAUCAUGGCGAGUAGGCGAGUAGAUCAAAGUACAACGUCUGUCGUCGUCGUCGAUUGAAGGGGAACGCUGCCCCGGUGGCACGGGGAAUGACUCAACAUCUCACCCCAUUGAUUCUCAAAUCCAGGUACUUAAUUUCGUUUAAAAUUGAACUUAAAAUAGUCCGUUUCUCAGAAUAUUAGUUACUGGCUAGGGUUCUUCACUUAGUCACUACUUAAUUCCUUGUAAAAUUGAAUUUAAAAUAGGUUUAUUGUUACUUUAUUAAAUGUUGUUAGACUGGUGUAGAAAGUUUAUGAUCAGACUAAACCUAGUUCAUUUGUUAAUUCUAGAUUAAAUCUCUAUUUAUCUUAUCGAUUUUUAGGUUGAUUGUUCAUGAUUUAUGAAUUGAUAUUUUUGUCUUAUGAAUGUUUUUUGUAAAGUUGUUCUAAUCUGUUAUACUUGGUUAAUUGCAAGUUGUAGCUAUUUGCAAAUUGUUGUCUGUUUGGAAAAUUAGGAAAGGAAACUGGAAAAGUUGUGAUAUUAUCACUUAAGAUAUUUUGCCCUUUUUACUCUCAAAUUUUAGAGAUUGCCUUUUUUCCUCUCUCUUCUCUGCUUCGUGUCAUGUUCAAGGAGUGCCAGUAAAAUUGAUAUUUUUGCUAUCAAUGUUUCCAAUCUACCGAGAUGAUGAUCUUUGUGUGGAGUUCUGACACCUGAUUCUUGUAAUCAAUAAGACAUAAUCAAUUUGGGAAAAUUUAUUCCUCCUUUUUUCCUCUGUUUGGACUCUUCAUGAGGACCUCUGACCAUGGCCCUUUAGUUUUCUCUAUCAACUGAUUGAAAUUUAUGAUGAUGGUUUUGUUAGUGGGUUAUAGCUGACUUGUUGUGUUUUUUUUAUCGUCCUUUGCUGCCGCUUCUAUUCUUAUGAUCGCUUGUGUGUUGCCUGCCAAGUUGUUGCCAUUCAUUGUUGCAGUGUUGUUGUUCUUGCUGCUGUCGUAAAGUGUUAUUCUUGCUGCUGUCGUAAAAUGUUGGUCUUGAUGUUGCUUCACUUCUUUUGCGGUGUUGCUUCUGCUUGUCAUUGGUGUUGUUGCCCUUUGUUAUUUCUCACUACUUUGUUCUGCUUCUCCUUUUAGUGUCCUCUCAAGUUCUGGAUUACCAAAGUCAUGUCCGGUUUAUAUAUUAUACUGAGGUAUAUAGUUUUCAAUUCAAAAUUCCGCUUUUGAUUUAUUUUUAGCUUUGGUUAUUUAGGCCCAAAGGAAAGUCUGACUGUAUUGUUAGCCACAGGCCCACAGGUGCUUCCAUUGAUUAAUACUUCAGAGUGGGAUCAUUUUUAAGGCUAAUUGCUGAUAUUUUAUAGAAUUUGAAGGUUGAAUUUAACAAUAUAUUAAGAUUAAGUGAAAGAUUUAAUUUGUCGGCACUUCCUCUUAAUAAGAAUUCACUACAAGUAGCAAGCCAGCUAAUUUUAAGAGAUUGGUUGAUGAUUUGUAACUGAGCAUAAUUCUUUAUAAUAGCAGAUGCUUUUAUUUUUUAGUUAGUUACUAACCCAUCUGGUAUUUUGGUGCUUAAGGUUUUUGUUGAUCUGUGUAUUUUACAAGGUGUGAUCUACAGUUCGAAGACUUUUGGUUUUCUAUUUAGUAUCCAGUAAAGCAGACAUGGAUUAAGAGAUUGGUCUUGCCCAAGCCUGUAAUCAAUAUUUAGAGAAGCUCAACUACACGUUAGGUCAUGCUUGUGCUGUCCACUUACUGCAGGACAUUGUUCAAAGACUUCUGCCUCGAUGCUGAUACGACGCUUGCCACUUUAAGACUUACCAUGGCUGUUUUACCUUGUUUUUUAACUAACAUGAUAUGGCUUAUCUCAGGAUAUCUGGCAUAUCUCAUUCUCACCCUAUUUUUUGAAAUCGUUGGUCUAAAUAGUACUUUCUAUAAGACCUUCUGGAUUAGAGUUGUUGUAUUGUGUUACACACUGAUUAUGUUGGUUGUUGCUGCUGAUUCGUUGGUUACGUUGCUGCUGUCUUACUGUUAUUGAUGUUGUCUACACUGCUGCUGUCCUGCUAUCUACACUGCUGCUAUCUACACUGCUGCUGUCCUGCUGCUGCUGUUCUGCUGAUUACUGCUGUUCUUCUGUUGUUAGGCUGUCAUUCUGUUUUGUUGACUUGGUUUGACUUUUCAGUAAUUUUUGUUUAUGCACCAAUUCUUGGUGUUUUUUUGGUUUAGAUUGAACAACAAUCGGUUCUCUUUUGGUUAAUAAUAUUACUUGGAGUUAGAUAAAUCUUUUGAUUCUUAUGAAAUUUGGUGGUUUA